AAGGCUUUAGCUUAAUUAAAGUGUCUGUUUUGCAUGCAGUUGAUGUGGGAUAACAGCCCGCAAGUCUUA
RNAcentral lists this transfer RNA (69 nucleotides) under Paralichthys olivaceus (Japanese flounder). RNAcentral describes it as "tRNA-Ala". It matches the Rfam family "tRNA". Rfam says of the family: Transfer RNA (tRNA) molecules are approximately 80 nucleotides in length. Their secondary structure includes four short double-helical elements and three loops (D, anti-codon, and T loops). Further hydrogen bonds mediate the characteristic L-shaped molecular structure. tRNAs have two regions of fundamental functional importance: the anti-codon, which is responsible for specific mRNA codon recognition, and the 3' end, to which the tRNAs corresponding amino acid is attached (by aminoacyl-tRNA synthetases). tRNAs cope with the degeneracy of the genetic code in two manners: having more than one tRNA (with a specific anti-codon) for a particular amino acid; and 'wobble' base-pairing, i.e. permitting non-standard base-pairing at the 3rd anti-codon position. RNAcentral also lists the same sequence under 1 other name. Lineage: Eukaryota; Metazoa; Chordata; Actinopteri; Pleuronectiformes; Paralichthyidae. The record is from RNAcentral.